UGAGGUGUAGCUCAGUGGUAGAGUGCUCAACUGGCAUGCAUGAGACUUGGGUUCAAUCCCCAGCACUGCCA
Molecule: transfer RNA, 71 nt
Filed under: Heterocephalus glaber (naked mole-rat)
Lineage: Eukaryota; Metazoa; Chordata; Mammalia; Rodentia; Bathyergidae
Rfam family: tRNA
About the family: Transfer RNA (tRNA) molecules are approximately 80 nucleotides in length. Their secondary structure includes four short double-helical elements and three loops (D, anti-codon, and T loops).
Source: Rfam by way of RNAcentral